GCUAGCGGCAUGCUAUCCAUGCUUAUCGAACGGUAACAGCGGAGAUGAUCCUUUCGGGGUGAAUUUCCGGCUGACGAGUGGCGGACGGGUGAGUAAUGCAUAGGAAUCUGCCCUUUAGUGGGGGAUAACCCGGGGAAACCCGGGCUAAUACCGCAUAAGUCCUACGGGAGAAAGCGGGGGAUCUUCGGACCUCGCGCUGAAGGAUGAGCCUAUGUCUGAUUAGCUUGUUGGUGGGGUAAAAGCCUACCAAGGCGACGAUCAGUAGCUGGUCUGAGAGGACGGACAGCCACACUGGGACUGAGACACGGCCCAGACUCCUACGGGAGGCAGCAGUGGGGAAUAUUGGACAAUGGGCGCAAGCCUGAUCCAGCAAUGCCGCGUG
This 382-nucleotide ribosomal RNA is filed under the name uncultured bacterium. Its description in RNAcentral is "bacterial SSU rRNA". It matches the Rfam family "Bacterial small subunit ribosomal RNA", at positions 35 to 403 of the family's 1533-position model. The record is from RNAcentral.